Molecule: ribosomal RNA, 254 nt
Filed under: uncultured bacterium
Lineage: Bacteria
Description: partial 16S ribosomal RNA
Rfam family: Bacterial small subunit ribosomal RNA
Source: RNAcentral
UACGAAGGGGGCUAGCGUUGUUCGGAAUCACUGGGCGUAAAGGGCGCGUAGGCGGCUUUAUAAGUCGGAUGUGAAAGCCCCGGGCUCAACCCGGGAAGUGCACUCGAUACUGCGUAGCUUGAGUCUCGGAGAGGUUGGUGGAAUUCUCGGUGUAGAGGUGAAAUUCGUAGAUAUCGAGAGGAACACCGGUGGCGAAGGCGGCCAACUGGACGAAGACUGACGCUGGAGACACGAAAGCGUGGGGAGCAAACAGG